RNAcentral lists this ribosomal RNA (493 nucleotides) under uncultured bacterium. Its description in RNAcentral is "partial 16S ribosomal RNA". It matches the Rfam family "Bacterial small subunit ribosomal RNA", at positions 30 to 523 of the family's 1533-position model. The record is from RNAcentral.
AUUGAACGCUGGCGGCAUGCUUUACACAUGCAAGUCGAACGGUAACAGGUUAAGCUGACGAGUGGCGAACGGGUGAGUAAUGCAUCGGAACGUGCCCGAUCGUGGGGGAUAACGCAGAGAAAGCUGCGCUAAUACCGCAUACGAUCUGAGGAUGAAAGCGGGGGACCGUAAGGCCUCGCGCGCUCGGAGCGGACAAUGUCAGAUUAGGUAGUUGGUGGGGUAAAGGCCCACCAAGCCGACGAUCUGUAGCUGGUCUGAGAGGACGACCAGCCACACUGGGACUGAGACACGGCCCAGACUCCUACGGGAGGCAGCAGUGGGGAAUUUUGGACAAUGGGCGAAGGCCUGAUCCAGCAAUGCCGCGUGCAGGAAGAAGGCCUUCGGGUUGUAAACUGCUUUUGUACGGAGCGAAAAGGUCCUUUCUAAUACAAGGGGCUCAUGACGGUACCGUAAGAAUAAGCACCGGCUAACUACGUGCCAGCAGCCGCAGUAA